UACGUAGGGUGCAAGCGUUAAUCGGAAUUACUGGGCGUAAAGCGUGCGCAGGCGGUUAUGUAAGACAGAUGUGAAAUGCCCGGGCUUAACCUGGGAACUGCAUUUGUGACUGCAUGGCUAGAGUGUGUCAGAGGGGGGUAGAAUUCCACGUGUAGCAGUGAAAUGCGUAGAUAUGUGGAGGAACACCGAUGGCGAAGGCAGCCCCCCUGGGAUAACACUGACGCUCAUGCACGAAAGCGUGGGGAGCAAACAGG
RNAcentral lists this ribosomal RNA (254 nucleotides) under uncultured bacterium. RNAcentral describes it as "partial 16S ribosomal RNA". It matches the Rfam family "Bacterial small subunit ribosomal RNA", at positions 524 to 776 of the family's 1533-position model. The record is from RNAcentral.